GAUGAACGCUGGCGGCAUGCCUAAUACAUGCAAGUCGAGCGAAGCGGGGAGGCGUGAGGAACACGUGGAUAAACUACUCUAAGACUGGGAAAACUUCGGGAAACCGGAGCUAGACCGGAUACUUAUAGAUGGAGACGCGCUGCAUUAGCUAGUUGGUAAGGUAACGGCUUACCAAGGCAACGAUGCGUAGCCGACCUGAGAGUGUGAGCGGCCACACUGGGACUGGGACACGGUCACGACUCCUACGGGAGGAAGCAGUGGGGAAUCUUCCGAAUUGGGCGAAAGCCUGACGGAGAAACGCCGCGUGAGUGAUGAAGGUCUUCGGAUCGUAAAACGCUGGUAUUGGGGAAGCGGUACCUAAUCAGAAAGCCACGGCUAACUACGUUCCAGCAGCCGCGGUAAUAC
This 405-nucleotide ribosomal RNA is filed under the name uncultured bacterium. Its description in RNAcentral is "partial 16S ribosomal RNA". It matches the Rfam family "Bacterial small subunit ribosomal RNA", at positions 28 to 526 of the family's 1533-position model. The record is from RNAcentral.